RNAcentral lists this ribosomal RNA (715 nucleotides) under Candidatus Zambryskibacteria bacterium RIFCSPLOWO2_12_39_8. RNAcentral describes it as "partial 23S ribosomal RNA". It matches the Rfam family "Bacterial large subunit ribosomal RNA", at positions 2339 to 2604 of the family's 2925-position model. The record is from RNAcentral. Lineage: Bacteria; Candidatus Zambryskiibacteriota.
CGUGUCGAUAGUGUAAUGGCAUAAGCUGGAUUAACUGUAAGUCGUACAUGACAAACAGACACGAAAGUGGAGCAUAGUGAGCCGAUGGUCCGUGUUAGAGGCGGCCAAAGAUCAAAGGAUAAAAGCUACCCUGGGGAUGGACUCUGAAAUAAGAGUCUUGUUGUCCUCCCGCGAAGUAAUUUGCGGAGAAAUAAGGUCGUAUGAAAAAUGGAAGUUUUUUUGUGCGCAAUCUUAUGUCGUGAUAUCUAGUCACGAUACAAACGGCUUAUAACGGUUGACACGCACAGGUCUCCCAGAAAUGGGUUUUAGAGUGCGCAAUCCCGUGGGAAGUCGCCCUGAGAGAAAUCGAAGGGUUGACCCUGUAACGACUUGUUCUGUCGCAAUGGCGACGAAUGUAAUUUCUUACAACUAAAAAUUGAGAAUAUUAUAUUUAUAUCUUUCAAAUAUUUGAAAGAUUGGAACGAAGUGUAAUUCUGCUUCGAACACAGUUUUACGCUAACACGCCGUCCCCUUCCAAAUAUAAAAAUAUUUGUCAGGGUGAUGAUAUAGUCUAUUCACCAGCCAAACACCUGUUAAUACAGAAAUGAACAGGCUGGUUGUGCCUAAGCGUCCAUAGCGACGGCACAGUUCGGCACCUCGAUGUCGGCUCAAGAUAGCGCGGGGGUGAAGAAGCUCCCAAGCGUAUGGCUGUUCGCCAUUUAAAAUCUUACGCGAG